AGAAGGUCGAAGAACGUCCCUGAAGAAAAGGGCAACAUGGUAAAUUUGACUAUAUUUUGGCACGAUUUCCGUCAGUUGGAGCAAUGUGAAUUAUUUCUUGAUCGAAAUAAAUACAAGAUGUAAAUCCUUGGGCCUUAUUUAUGCGGUUAUGGCGUCUGGGUAUGCCUCAUUCACGGCAUUAUAUAACUUUAAACCAGAGCAGUUGGAUGAGAUAGAGUUGAGAGUUGGCGAUGUUGUGCUGGUUAAAAAACCAUUUAAUAUUGAAGAAUGGAUAGAAGGGGAAAAUCAAAGAACUAAACAACGUGGACAGAUUCCUGGCAACUUUUUAAAAGAGCUAGUAGGUAUGGUAGCCUGUAAUUUGAAUACCUAUUAAGCAUUUGAAUAAUGGUUUCAUCCUUCCGUGUUUGCAUAGAUGAAAGUGCAGUUGUACUAUCAUUAUCAUGUUUAUAUCAGGGUUUCAGUAUAAACUUAGUUUAUGCAAUAUCAGUUGGUCAUGGGCCGAUAUGUG
Paramuricea clavata is the source of this 508-nucleotide non-coding RNA. The record is from the annotation of a GenBank genome assembly. Lineage: Eukaryota; Metazoa; Cnidaria; Anthozoa; Malacalcyonacea; Plexauridae.